UCAGAACCAGGAGACGAUCCCGGACCUUGGAGAUGAUCUCGGACCCCGGAGAUGAUCCCGGACCCAGACGCAACCUAUCCAUCCUUCCCCCGGACCGGGACACAAGAGUCCAAACCGACACCUGAACAAGUUGCAGUCUGACAUGACAAGGACAAUACCCAAUGCCAGCUACUGACACUAUGAAGACAAACCUCAUAACACUCCAAAAUACUAUUCCUUAGCUGAC
Molecule: long non-coding RNA, 226 nt
Filed under: Daucus carota (carrot)
Lineage: Eukaryota; Viridiplantae; Streptophyta; Magnoliopsida; Apiales; Apiaceae
Description: long non-coding RNA (DCAR_LNC006592)
Source: RNAcentral